CCUCCGUUCUUGGCAUAUUUGUUGUGUUCCAUACACGUGUGUGUAUGUAAUGGAGGAAUGUGAAAGUCCAGUGCUAUGUUUUUGGUCCCAGAAAGUCAAUGGUUUUCUGGUUCUAUCCUCAGUCGCUGGCACAGCC
Small nucleolar RNA from Mugil cephalus (flathead mullet), 136 nucleotides. RefSeq annotates it as small nucleolar RNA SNORA57. The record is from RefSeq and is a predicted model, not a curated record. The transcript has a single exon. Lineage: Eukaryota; Metazoa; Chordata; Actinopteri; Mugiliformes; Mugilidae.